CAGCAAUGGGAUAGAAGCAUCAUAGAUGUGCUUCGGCCUUUUGAGCAGGGCAUGUUGAACCAUUUUCCAACAUGACAUGACAUGGCCUCGUGGAAAAAGUUCGAUUUCAUGCAUUCAAUACAACUUCUUGCAUUGUUCGAAAUAAUGGGGGUGGGGGUGUGUUUGCCCUACACAUGGAUGGAUAUCGAAAACAAAUCCUGAUUGCAACUCAAUGUACGGAGUACUGUACAGAUUGUACUGUACACAUAUGGAAAGCUAGCCGUCACAUUUACCUCAAACCACAAUUGAUGAUAUAUGUGAUGCGGCCAAUGUGGAGGAGUCUAGCCAAAAAAACGUUCCACCCGGCUCCCAGGAAACAUUUCCUAUUAGUUUGCU
Molecule: small RNA, 375 nt
Filed under: Histoplasma ohiense
Lineage: Eukaryota; Fungi; Ascomycota; Eurotiomycetes; Onygenales; Ajellomycetaceae
Description: hypothetical lncRNA
Source: RNAcentral